CUCUCCCCCGACUUGUACUCCACCACCGAUCCCGUCGCCGUCGAGUUCUCCGACCUGUUCGUUCAUUUCAUCAAUUUUAUACUCGCACCGUCUCAAAAUGUAAGCAUUUUUAGACUCUUAUACACGGUCUGCGAGAUGCUACUUUAACCAACAAUAUCUAUAUAAGUAAGAUGUUUUAAAUAAAAAGAGUUACAUAUCAUGAUAGUUUGUUUAAUGAUAAAUCUAGUAACAUCAAUUUUACAUGAUUGAUCUUUUUUUACUAUUAAUGGUUAAAGUUUAAAAUAUUUGAUUUGUCACUAUGCUAAAAAUAUUUAUAUUUUAGGACGGAGGGAGUACACGCAGGAAUUCAGAGAUUAAUUAGUUUGUAACGUGACCUUAAUAUGAGCUCGUCCCAGCAGUCGAAGCCUUCCUUGAUGAGAUUGGUGGCGGUGGCGUUCCUCAGCUCCGGCGUGUCCGGCCUGUCCGACAGGAAGACGAUCUUGACGCCG
Molecule: long non-coding RNA, 488 nt
Filed under: Oryza sativa (Asian cultivated rice)
Lineage: Eukaryota; Viridiplantae; Streptophyta; Magnoliopsida; Poales; Poaceae
Description: long non-coding RNA (OSAT_LNC001842)
Source: RNAcentral